Molecule: ribosomal RNA, 429 nt
Filed under: Actinomycetes bacterium
Lineage: Bacteria; Bacillati; Actinomycetota; Actinomycetes
Description: Actinobacteria bacterium partial 16S ribosomal RNA
Rfam family: Bacterial small subunit ribosomal RNA
Source: RNAcentral
UAGGGAAUCUUCCGCAAUGGGCGAAAGCCUGACGGAGCAACGCCGCGUGAGUGAUGAAGGUCUUCGGAUCGUAAAACUCUGUUAUUAGGGAAGAACAAAUGUGUAAGUAACUAUGCACGUCUUGACGGUACCUAAUCAGAAAGCCACGGCUAACUACGUGCCAGCAGCCGCGGUAAUACGUAGGUGGCAAGCGUUAUCCGGAAUUAGUGGGCGUAAAGCGCGCGUAGGCGGUUUUUUAAGUCUGAUGUGAAAGCCCACGGCUAAACCGUUGAGGGUCAUUGGAAACUGGAAAACUUGAGUGCAGAAGAGGAAAGUGGAAUUCCAUGUGUAGCGGUGAAAUGCGCAGAGAUAUGGAGGAACACCAGUGGCGAAGGCGACUUUCUGGUCUGUAACUGACGCUGAUGUGCGAAAGCGUGGGGAUCAAACAGG